This 637-nucleotide long non-coding RNA is filed under the name Equus caballus (horse). RNAcentral's name for it is "lncRNA (ENSECAG00000053114.1)". The record is from RNAcentral. Lineage: Eukaryota; Metazoa; Chordata; Mammalia; Perissodactyla; Equidae.
CCACAUUAGUUGUUCAUUUGUUCAACAAACAGGCAACACCUAAGGGCCAGGUCCUAGUCUAGGUGCCAUGGAUAGAGUGGUAAAGAAGACAGACAAACUUCCAGCUUCAUGAAGCUUACUAAAUUCCAGUGGUGAAAAGAGACAAUAAAUAAGGACAGUAGUGACUAGUGCUAUAAAGAAGAAUAAAGAAUAACACAGGCACCUAGGUGCCAGACAUGAGAGUGAAGACAUCUUGGACAUUCCAGCCCCAGUCAUGUGCCUGCAGCUUCAUGACAGACUACUCGUGACACCAGCAGAAGAACCAUUCAGCUGAUCUUUAGUCAACUCACAGAAUCAUGGGAAAUAAUAAAAUGGUGGUUGUACUAGGUGCUCCCCGUAAGUUGAACCUAGUCCAAGGCAGAAGGAAAAGGAGCCUUCGAUGUUGUCCAUAAAGGUCAGACUCUCAGGUCACAGAGCAAGGGAGAGAAGAAUGGAGAUUGGCUCUGGAGAGGCAAACAGAAGAGAUUCAGCAGGGGCCACCCCCUUCCCCUUCAGCAUCAACUCUAGCUCUCCGUAGAAUAGUUGAAGACCUUUCAGGAGCUGAGUCUUUCCAAUGAGGGAUGCAGCCCAUGGUGACUUCUUAGAGAGGGAGCUGGAG